Long non-coding RNA from Gallus gallus (chicken), 1111 nucleotides. NCBI's taxonomy places the organism in Eukaryota, Metazoa, Chordata, Aves, Galliformes, Phasianidae. The record is from Ensembl.
AUGGAUUGUUUGUGUCUUAUUCAGUGGGCACAGUUCUGCCUUUUAAUCCGAGUAUCAAUGAAAGAUACAUGUGGAUAUCUAAUAAUAAUUUACAGGUGUGUGUCUAAUAAUAGACUCAGGAUAAUUUCAGUGUAGCAGUGUAAUAAUCAGUGUAGCAGUAUCUUUGGGGAAAAGCAUUUUUUUUUUUCAUGAAUGUUCACAGGUAGAUAUUCUGCAGAUAAUUUCUUUUUUUAUUAACAUGCAGCUUUAGGCAACAGAAUACUAAGUUGUAUUUAAAUGUGAGACAUUAAUCACAAACUUUCCACCUAAUCACCAUCUCAGUCAAGUCUCAUUCAAAUCUUCUGACAGUAAACUUUUGUGUAUUACGUAUAUUGUCUUAUCUCACACAACAGGUUUUCCCAGUGGCUCUCACUAGAAGGAAGUUUGCUGUUAUACAUGUGAUAAUAAAUUAUUGCUUAUCUAAUGUCAGCAUUUGAGGAACAACCACACAGAGUCUAUUGACAACUUACUUCUAAUUUUUACAUAAGGAUUUUCUGCAGUUUUUAUAGUACUUGAACAUGACCUGCUUUUUGUAAAUGUGGUUACCAUUAAAUGUGUAUUAUAAACUAUUAAUAUUCUCAAGACUUACUGAACUUAGCAUCAGGACUUUUUUUUCUCUGAAUUUCCAUUGUGGUAUUUCAAGUAUUCAUUCCAAUCUAAAGCAAGGAAGAUUUUUUGGAUGCUUAUAUUCAUUCCCAAAGAUAGAAUGGGCUGGUUACUAACUUGUUUCCCUAGAAGGAAACUCACCUUCCUUAUCUAAAAAAGUCAUAAAACACUUUAUCUUUUGUUUGCGGAAAGAUUCAGGUAUUUAGUGACAGGUAAUCAUGAGCAAAUUAUUUACUAACUGCAACAGAGCAAUAGAACAAUGAAAGUCUUUCAAGGGCAGGUUAAAAUUAACAUAAAUAAAUACAAUUUUAAUAGACACUAUUUAGACCAAACACUUGGCUUAUUGUACAUCAGAUCAAUGCCCUUUUGGUGACAAGCCUGUCAACUUAUUAGGAUGUGUUUAAAUCCUGAUUGAUGUAUCAACACAACACACUUCUGUGUGCACUGUGAGAAUCGCAAAGAGGCA